RNAcentral lists this ribosomal RNA (217 nucleotides) under uncultured bacterium. RNAcentral's name for it is "partial 16S ribosomal RNA". It matches the Rfam family "Bacterial small subunit ribosomal RNA", at positions 524 to 739 of the family's 1533-position model. The record is from RNAcentral.
UACGUAGGGUCCGAGCGUUGUCCGGAAUUACUGGGCGUAAAGAGCUCGUAGGUGGUUUGUCGCGUUGUUCGUGAAAACUCACAGCUCAACUGUGGGCGUGCGGGCGAUACGGGCAGACUAGAGUACUGCAGGGGAGACUGGAAUUCCUGGUGUAGCGGUGGAAUGCGCAGAUAUCAGGAGGAACACCGGUGGCGAAGGCGGGUCUCUGGGCGAGUAA